RNAcentral lists this unclassified non-coding RNA (240 nucleotides) under soil metagenome. Its description in RNAcentral is "partial contains 5.8S ribosomal RNA, internal transcribed spacer 2, and large subunit ribosomal RNA". The record is from RNAcentral.
AAGACUAUAGACCUGCGGAGUACCUGCGGAGGGAUCAUUAAUGAGAAACUGCCCCUCGCGGGUAGAUCUCCCACCCUUUGUAAACUUACCUUUGUUGCUUUGGCAGGCCCGUCUCCGGACCGCCGGCUUCGGCUGGCCAGUGCCUGCCAGAGGAUUCUAAAACUCUGUCUGUCAGUGUUGUCUGAGUCUAUAUACAAUCGUUAAAACUUUUAGCAACGGAUCUCUAGAUCGGAAGAGCAC